Molecule: long non-coding RNA, 323 nt
Organism: Harmonia axyridis
Lineage: Eukaryota; Metazoa; Arthropoda; Insecta; Coleoptera; Coccinellidae
Exons: 2
Source: RefSeq, a predicted model, not a curated record
GUUCGAGGUAUUCGAAAAAUUCUAAACUACUUUUUCAGUUCCAUCCGAGCUGUCUAAAUUAAGCACUAGGAGUUCAGAGAGUGAUAGAAGAAGCGAUAUAGAUAGCGCUUCAGAAGGAGAAACUGCUAGGAAGGAAGACAAUAAAACAUUGCGCAUCAAAUUUAAAAUGAUAACAAAAGGUGAAAACCCCACUUAUGAGAUCGUGAAGCCUAGCGAUGAGAGGGAUGAAUUGAACGAAAAAACGCUACCUCGCAAAGAAGCAAAAAAAAGGAAGAACGAAGAAGCCGAGACAGAAAAGGCAAAAAGAAGGAAGACAAAAAAGG